This 506-nucleotide ribosomal RNA is filed under the name uncultured bacterium. RNAcentral describes it as "partial 16S ribosomal RNA". It matches the Rfam family "Bacterial small subunit ribosomal RNA", at positions 29 to 523 of the family's 1533-position model. The record is from RNAcentral.
AGUGAACGCUGGCGGUAGGCCUAACACAUGCAAGUCGAACGGCAGCACAGGAGAGCUUGCUCUCUGGGUGGCGAGUGGCGGACGGGUGAGGAAUACAUCGGAAUCUACUCUGUCGGGGGGGAUAACGUAGGGAAACUUACGCUAAUACCGCAUACGACCUAAGGGUGAAAGCAGGGGAUCCUCGGACCUUGCGCGAUUGCAUGAGCCGAUGUCGGAUUAGCUAGUUGGCGGGGUAAAGGCCCAACAAGGCGACGAUCCGUAGCUGGUCUGAGAGGAUGAUCAGCCACACUGGAACUGAGACACGGUCCAGACUCCUACGGGAGGCAGCAGUGGGGAAUAUUGGACAAUGGGCGCAAGCCUGAUCCAGCCAUACCGCGUGGGUGAAGAAGGCCUUCGGGUUGUAAAGCCCUUUUGUUGGGAAAGAAAUCCAGCUGGCUAAUACCCGGUUGGGAUGACGGUACCCAAAGAAUAAGCACCGGCUAACUUCGUGCCAGCCGCCGCGGUAA